ACCCGUGCGAAAUCGCAAACAUGGCCGACUUCAUUGUUUUGAUACUGGCAAAGCGUUAAUUGUUUUGCUCGACGAUAUAUUACAAUAUACAUCUUUCGAUUCUAUUCGGCGUUUACGCGACUUACCGGCUUUUCCGACCAGUUGUCGUCGCCGUCCGCUAAUUUCCGGGAUAGUGAGUAAUUUUUAUUAUUUUUUUUUUGAACUAUUCUGUUACUCGCGGUCGUUGCCGCCGCGAAAUAUCCGGAUAAUGUAAACACCGGCAGUAGCUUCAACGGCAUCUUCGUCAAUCGAACCCUCAGUCGGUAAGUGUACCUUUCUCCUUAUCAUUAUUUUAUUUUAUUAACGUUAGCUAUAUUUUUGCGAUUUUUUCAUCUUGAUUGAAUUUUUUUUCCGACCUUCGCAUAGAGCCGUCCUCAAAGUAUUCUAGGUCUUAAGAAGUAAGUUAUGUAACGUUCAGCAACCCGACUAAUCGCACUGAUUAAGGUUUUUUUAAAAAAAUCUAGUUUCUCUGCUUAAGCACUUUAAAUAUUAAAUAUUCCGAUUUAACUAUCGUAUGUGACUUGCAUGCCAGUCAAACGCUGUAUUUAUAAUAAUUCUUACAAUAAAAAUGUUUUUUAGGCAAUAAUUUAUCAAUAACUUAAAUUAAUUUUGUAUGAUUUAAACUCGUCAAAGAAUAUAUCUGGGUAACUAUUUUUCUGACUGAUUAUUCUAUUCAAAAUAAAGUACUUUAACUACUCUCCAUUACAUAGUAAUACAAUACUCUUUGCAAUACCUAUGCUUUUUAAUAUUUUAAAGCAUAGGUAAGUAUUCAAUAAUAUUUCUUUUGUAUGUUUUAUCAAUUAGUUAAAUGUAAUAAUACCUACACAAAUAAACAAUUUUGUCAAGUAUUUGUCAAAUAAUUUACAAAAUAUAUUAAACAUAACUAUUGGUACCUUGUUUCAACAUAACCUUUUAUAUUAUUAAUAUUCUGAACAAAAUAAUUUCAUUUCUCAAUACCCAUCUAAAUAGAUAAAAUACCUUGAUACUUAGUGCAUUUAAACCAUUUAAAAAAUUGUAUGUAUUUUUAUAGAAGUAUACUACUCCAUUUUUAUGUCUUUUGAAAUUUAUAUUUCAUUUAUGUUAAAUUUUUCGCAAAGUAAAUUAAAUUUGAUCAAAAAAAUUAAACAUUUGUAUCUUCUGUGAUAAUAAAAAGACACUAAUGUAGUUAAUGACAUCUGUACUAUUUUUAACUUGGCUCAAACUCUAAUGCAAAUUCUUUUGCCAUAGCUUUUAAUUUAUCAAAUUCAAAUUGUUAAUCAUUAAUUAUGUUGUAAUAAUUGUUCUACAUAAUAUUUAUUAAGUAUAAAAUUAGCUACCUACCUUUUUUGAAAUGAACCUGUCAAACACGUGCUUCGUGUUUACUAAACAAAUCUGUGCCUAAUAUAGGCUGGUAAUAAAUACAUUAUUCUAAAAUAUGCCAAACUAGGCUUUAUUAAUUUAUACAUUUUUAAUGAAAAAAAGAAUACUUAUCUUCACCAAGGUACCUAUUAAAUUUGUAACAUUUAUUGUUUAUUUUUUUUUUAUAAAUACAGAAAAUGGAUAAUCAAGGCCAUCAUCCGGCCGCAGUAAAAAAACGUUCCAUUGAUGACAUCAUAAAUAACAUAACAUCAGAUCUUCAAAGUUAUGAAGGUCGGUAUAUGGUAUUAGGGAAUCCGAGACAAUCGACAGACAUUAUGUGGCAACAAGUCAAUAACUAUGCAAAUCCACAACCACAAACCAAUAUGUAUAAUCCAGAAUCAAUGAAUUUGACCAAUAACAAUCCUUAUAUUUUAAACCCUAAUCAAUAUUCUCCAUAUAUGCAAACUCAGAAUCAAAUGCCAGGGUAUGUCAACUACGACCAUCAAGUGUAUUCUCAUCAUCCUCAUCCCCAUCAUCAACAGCAGCAGCAGCAACAACAUCAACAAACAUCUCAGCAACAACAACAACAACAACAACAAAUUAACUAUACGUAUUACCAACAAUCGCAAUAUAAUUCUCAUCCCAUGCAAUACCAGAGUGCUACAUACGGUCUUUUUGAUCCGCCUUGUAAUGAUGCUCUCAUUGAAAAUCUUGUUCAAAGUUGGAGUCAAACUCAAAAUAAUGGUGGUGUGUUCAGUCCAUUUGGAGAUCAGGCGUUUCAAACUUCGAGAGAAAUGAUUCCUGAACGAGAUAUUAACAUUCACAAUCAUAACACGAUGACCAAUCACACGAAUAUUGCUACACCUGUUAAAAAAGUUAGAAUGGUAGCGGAAGUACGUCCGAUGCGACCCAGUUAUUCUGAUGUUUUGGCUAAAUCACCAGCUGUUGGUGCCGUGAAAAAAACUGCAGCUAGUACUCAAGUCGAAACAUUAUUAGAUUUAAAAACAACCUCUAAAGUAAAAACAUCUAUCAAAAAAAAGAAAAACUCUGCAAAGUUGGGUAAAGGAGAAUCUGGUUUGAAAAGACAAAAUUCUUCUGCAAGCAGUGAAGAGCGUAAUACUCCCACAGUAGAAUUUAAAGAAGAUGAAAAAAAGUUUGAAGCUACAUUUAAUAAUAAUAAUAGUAAUAAUGAAAAAGUUUGGACAUCGUCAGAAGACUUGAACGGAUCAGAAUAUUACGAAGCUGAUGAAAACGCUUUUAGUAAUAUUUUGGCACCAAAGUCUAAAGAAAACAAUAAGAAAGAUAAAGCAAAAACUAAAUCUAAGACUGUUCCAUUGUUAAAAACCUCAGGUAAAAUUACAGUUUGUUUUUUAAUUUUCUUUUAAUGAAUCUGAUAAAAUUGAUUUUUUUUAUUUUUAUUAUUUAAGGUUAUACUUUAAAGUCUCAUAAGGACGAUGCUGAAAAACACAAGACUAAAAAAAAUAUUCAAUCGAGUUGUGCUAUUGGUGCUGUUAAAAAAGAGAAGUUAAAUAAUGACCAUAAAAAGCAUAAUGAAUCAAAUAGUAUGUUAUUAUUUAAAUUUAAAUGAAAUUGUAUUUUGAAGUACAAAAUUAUUUGCAUCUAGAUAUUAGUACAACAAAGUUGUCUGAUGAAGUUGAAAAACCUUCUGUCAAAAUGUCUUCAAAUGUACCCCAGUCACAACAGGCUGCACCUACUAGUAAAAAUCAGGGUUCACGUAGUACUGCUACGUUCACAGCAUUACCAUUCAAAGCAAGAUAUCAACGAGUGACAAAAAAACGACCACGUAGCUCUGCUUUAAACACAAUGUGUAUGUGUUAAAUUUUAAACUGUGUUUAUUU
RNAcentral lists this long non-coding RNA (3236 nucleotides) under Cinara cedri. Lineage: Eukaryota; Metazoa; Arthropoda; Insecta; Hemiptera; Aphididae. The record is from RNAcentral.